Molecule: ribosomal RNA, 404 nt
Filed under: Actinomycetes bacterium
Lineage: Bacteria; Bacillati; Actinomycetota; Actinomycetes
Description: Actinobacteria bacterium partial 16S ribosomal RNA
Rfam family: Bacterial small subunit ribosomal RNA
Source: RNAcentral
UGGGGAAUAUUGGACAAUGGGCGCAAGCCUGAUCCAGCCAUGCCGCGUGAGUGAUGAAGGCCCUAGGGUUGUAAAGCUCUUUCACCGGUGAAGAUAAUGACGGUAACCGGAGAAGAAGCCCCGGCUAACUUCGUGCCAGCAGCCGCGGUAAUACGAAGGGGGCUAGCGUUGUUCGGAUUUACUGGGCGUAAAGCGCACGUAGGCGGACUAUUAAGUCAGGGGUGAAAUCCCGGGGCUCAACCCCGGAACUACCUUUGAUACUGGUAGUCUUGAGUUCGAGAGAGGUGAGUGGAAUUCCGAGUGUAGAGGUGAAAUUCGUAGAUAUUCGGAGGAACACCAGUGGCGAAGGCGGCUCACUGGCUCGAUACUGACGCUGAGGUGCGAAAGCGUGGGGAGCAAACAGG